Molecule: ribosomal RNA, 468 nt
Filed under: uncultured bacterium
Lineage: Bacteria
Description: partial 16S ribosomal RNA
Rfam family: Bacterial small subunit ribosomal RNA
Source: RNAcentral
GACGAACGCUGGCGGCGUGCUUAACACAUGCAAGUCGAACGGAAAGGCCCUGCUUUUGUGGGGUGCUCGAGUGGCGAACGGGUGAGUAACACGUGAGUAACCUGCCCUUGACUUUGGGAUAACUUCAGGAAACUGGGGCUAAUACCGGAUAGGAGCUCCUGCUGCAUGGUGGGGGUUGGAAAGUUUCGGCGGUUGGGGAUGGACUCGCGGCUUAUCAGCUUGUUGGUGGGGUAGUGGCUUACCAAGGCUUUGACGGGUAGCCGGCCUGAGAGGGUGACCGGCCACAUUGGGACUGAGAUACGGCCCAGACUACUACGGGAGGCAGCAGUGGGGAAUAUUGCACAAUGGGAGGAAGCCUGAUGCAGCAACGCCGCGGGCGGGAUGACGGCCUUCGGGUUGUAAACCGCUUUCGCCUGUGACGAAGCGUGAGUGACGGUAAUGGGUAAAGAAGCACCGGCUAACUACGUG